CGCGGCGGCGCCUCUCAAUGGGCGGCUGAUGCUUCCGUCAAGGGAGGGUCGUGCGUGGAUUGGACGCCGCCGCCAGUGCCGCACGCCCAUUGGUGGAGAGGGGGGGAGUGGGCGUGUCCUCUACAACGGGCUCCUUGGUCAGGGAUCGAACCCGCAGCCGGGCCCUGGACUCCAGAGCAAAGCAUGUGCGCAUGCGCUCUACCACGGAGCUGCCGCCCUUGGCUACAAGACCCUGGGUAGAUGUCUCAGAUGCCACCAUGAUGCCAACCUGACUUCCCAGGACAGACGACCCCACCCAUGUGUCCUGGAGCCCCGCUUCCCCGGAGCCCUGCCCCACUAGGGAGAGAGAGAGGCAGGCUGGGAGUGUGGAUCCACCUGCCAACGCCCAGGUUCAGCGGGGAAGCCAUUCCAGAAGCCAGACCUCCCACCUUCUGCACAAGGUCACCCCAUAAUGACCUUGGGUCCAUACUCCCAGAGGGAUAAAGGACAGGAAAGCCAUCAGGCAGGGGAGGGGGAUGGGAUGCGGAGUUCUGGCGGUGGGGACUGUGUGGAGUUGUACCCCUCUUAUCCUCUGGUUUUUGUCAGUGUUAACAUUUUAUAAAAAAGAAAGAAUAGAA
Long non-coding RNA from Erinaceus europaeus (western European hedgehog), 617 nucleotides. RefSeq lists it as uncharacterized. Lineage: Eukaryota; Metazoa; Chordata; Mammalia; Eulipotyphla; Erinaceidae. The record is from RefSeq and is a predicted model, not a curated record. The transcript has 3 exons.